GGUGAGUAUAGCUCAAUUGGUAGAGCGUUAGAUUGUGGAUCUAAAGGUCAUAGGUUCGAUUCCUAUUAUUUACC
RNAcentral lists this transfer RNA (74 nucleotides) under Tetrahymena pigmentosa. Its description in RNAcentral is "tRNA-His". It matches the Rfam family "tRNA". From Rfam's summary of the family: Transfer RNA (tRNA) molecules are approximately 80 nucleotides in length. Their secondary structure includes four short double-helical elements and three loops (D, anti-codon, and T loops). Further hydrogen bonds mediate the characteristic L-shaped molecular structure. tRNAs have two regions of fundamental functional importance: the anti-codon, which is responsible for specific mRNA codon recognition, and the 3' end, to which the tRNAs corresponding amino acid is attached (by aminoacyl-tRNA synthetases). tRNAs cope with the degeneracy of the genetic code in two manners: having more than one tRNA (with a specific anti-codon) for a particular amino acid; and 'wobble' base-pairing, i.e. permitting non-standard base-pairing at the 3rd anti-codon position. Lineage: Eukaryota; Ciliophora; Oligohymenophorea; Hymenostomatida; Tetrahymenidae. The record is from RNAcentral.